RNAcentral lists this ribosomal RNA (1049 nucleotides) under uncultured bacterium. RNAcentral describes it as "bacterial SSU rRNA". It matches the Rfam family "Bacterial small subunit ribosomal RNA", at positions 55 to 1099 of the family's 1533-position model. The record is from RNAcentral.
AUGCAGUCGAACGGCAGCACGGGGGCAACCCUGGUGGCGAGUGGCGAACGGGUGAGUAACAUAUCGGAACAUAUCCGGAAGUGGGGGAUAACGUACCGAAAGGUACGCUAAUACCGCAUAUGCCCUGAGGGGGAAAGGAGGGGAUCGCAAGACCUUUCGCUUUCGGAGUGGCCGAUAUCGGAUUAGCUAGUUGGUGAGGUAAAGGCUCACCAAGGCGACGAUCCGUAGCUGGUCUGAGAGGACGACCAGCCACACUGGAACUGAGACACGGUCCAGACUCCUACGGGAGGCAGCAGUGGGGAAUUUUGGACAAUGGGGGCAACCCUGAUCCAGCCAUGCCGCGUGAGUGAAGAAGGCCUUCGGGUUGUAAAGCUCUUUCAGACGGAAAGAAACGGUCACGGCCAACACCCGUGACUAAUGACGGUACCGUCAGAAGAAGCACCGGCUAACUACGUGCCAGCAGCCGCGGUAAUACGUAGGGUGCGAGCGUUAAUCGGAAUUACUGGGCGUAAAGCGUGCGCAGGCGGUUUUGUAAGACAGACGUGAAAUCCCCGGGCUUAACCUGGGAACUGCGUUUGUGACUGCAAGACUAGAGUGUAGCAGAGGGGGGUAGAAUUCCACGUGUAGCAGUGAAAUGCGUAGAUAUGUGGAGGAAUACCGAUGGCGAAGGCAGCCCCCUGGGCUAACACUGACGCUCAUGCACGAAAGCGUGGGGAGCAAACAGGAUUAGAUACCCUGGUAAUCCACGCCCUAAACGAUGUCAACUAGGUGUUGGGGAAGGAGACUUCUUUAGUACCGCAGCUAACGCGAUAAGUUGACCGCCUGGGGAGUACGGUCGCAAGAUUAAAACUCAAAGGAAUUGACGGGACCCGCACAAGCGGUGGAUUAUGUGGAUUAAUUCGAUGCAACGCGAAAAACCUUACCUACCCUUGACAUGUCAGGAAGAUACCAGGGAUGGGAUUGUGCCCGAAAGGGAACCUGACACAGGUGCUGCAUGCUGUCGUCAGCUCGUGUCGUGAGAUGUUGGGUUAAGUCCCGCCAACGAGCGC